UGAAGAGCUGAGUGGCUAUUCAAGAGCUACAUAAAUAAUUUUCAGCAUUGAGACGGACAAUCCUGAAUCUCUUUCCAGGUCCUGUCACACUGAGCUUACUGGAGGGAAACUGGGCAAACUAGUUCUUGGCCCCUUAGUUUCUGACCAGUGAAGAGGCUUAUUUGGAGAGUAGGUACACAUUUCCGUGGCUCUCUUUGAAGAAACCCAGCAAGAUGUCAGACCUGCUCUCAGUUUUCCUGCACCUUCUCCUUCUCUUCAAGCUGGUUGCCCCCGUGACCUUUCAUCACCACCACUAUGAUGACCUUGUGCGGACACUGUACAAGGUGCACAACCAAUGCCCCCACAUCACACGGAUCUACAGUAUCGGGCGCAGUGUGAAGGGGAGACAUCUCUAUGUGCUGGAAUUCAGUGAUUACCCUGGAACUCAUGAGCUCUUGGAGCCGGAAGUCAAGUAUGUGGGGAAUAUGCAUGGUGAUGAGGUGCUGGGCCGAGAGCUACUGCUGCAGAUGUCGGAGUUCCUGUGUGAGGAGUUCCGGAACUGGAACCCAAGGAUCAUGCAGCUCAUUCACAGCACACGAAUUCACAUCCUGCCAUCCAUGAACCCAGAUGGCUACGAGAUGGCUGCUGCCCAGGGCCUGAACACAUCUGGAUAUCUGAUUGGCAGGAACAAUGCAAAUGGAGUGGAUCUGAACCGCAACUUCCCUGAUCUCAAUACUUAUUUCUACUAUAAUGAGAAGUACGGAGGCCCCAACCAUCAUUUACCCCUUCCAGACAACUGGAAAAACCAGCUUGUCCUCUUGCCACAGGUGGAGCCUGAGACCCGGGCUGUGAUCCGGUGGAUGCACUCCAUUAACUUUGUUCUCUCAGCCAAUCUCCAUGGAGGAGCAGUCGUGGCCAAUUACCCAUAUGACAAGUCCCUCAGACAUCGGCUCCGAAGUUCUCAUGGCACUACCACUACCCCCACACCUGACGAUAAGCUUUUCCAGAAGCUGGCCAAGGUCUACUCCUAUGCACAUGGCUGGAUGCACCAGGGCUGGAACUGUGGGGAUUACUUUCCAGAUGGCAUCACCAAUGGGGCUUCCUGGUACUCUCUCAGCAAGGGAAUGCAAGAUUUUAAUUAUCUCCACACCAACUGCUUUGAUAUCACAUUGGAACUCAGUUGCAAUAAGUUUCCCCACCAAGAGGAAUUAGAACGGGAAUGGCUGGGUAAUCGGGAAGCCCUAAUCCAAUUCUUGGAACAGGUUCACCAGGGCAUCAAGGGAAUGGUGCUUGAUGAUAACAAUAAUAAUCUCACAGGGGCUGUCAUUUCUGUCAGUGGGAUUAAUCAUGAUGUCACAUCAGGUGAACACGGCGACUACUUCCGGCUGCUGCUUCCGGGUACCUACUCUGUCACAGCCACAGCCCCUGGGUUUGACCCAAAGACAGUAACUGCAAUCGUGGGUCCUGCAGAACCAACACUGCAACCUGGUGCUAAUAGAGCCUCUUUUACAAGAGUUUGAAAAGAGAAAGUGCACAUCCAGCAUUUAGUAGUAACUGACACAGAGCAAGCACGCAACAAAGGUUAACUUCCAUCUCCAGAGAAGCACCACUCAAGUAAACCCUGGGAGAAGAACUCCCAAUGGAAGACAGGGAGGCAAAAUGAAAAUGCAGCCCCAGAUACCCAAAAAGAAGGACUCAGCCAUGAGGCAGCCGCACAGAGGUCCUGCCUGAAACCCAAGGAGCCCAGGGCAGCACUUCGCAAAGGCUCUGCUCCUGCUUUCAUAUCCCUUAGGCACACUUUCUGUUUUAUUAUCUGGGACAUAUUUAAAUAUAUAAGCCUAUUCAGACCAAUUCAGAAUCUGUUCAAUGGGUCUCAUUCUGUUCCAGGGAAAGCCCUGUCUGGGCUGUCAUUAAAGGAAUAGAAAGCCA
Heterocephalus glaber (naked mole-rat) is the source of this 1908-nucleotide RNA transcript. It is a transcript of the gene named carboxypeptidase N subunit 1, with no coding region annotated. NCBI's taxonomy places the organism in Eukaryota, Metazoa, Chordata, Mammalia, Rodentia, Bathyergidae. The record is from RefSeq and is a predicted model, not a curated record.